UAUAUUAUUUUAUAGUUGAGAUCCAUUGUUUUUACCGCAGCGCCACCCACUCCAGCCGACCGCCGGCUGCCAGCCUCAGUACCUGUCAUGCCCAGUCUCGCCGGCUACCGCCAUGCCGGUACCACGUAGAAGGCCGAAUAUCAUUUUCAGGGGGACUGGUCAAUCCGUUUGAUGGAGUUAAUUUAUGUAUGCUUAACCGAGCCAUGAAGAAACGUCACCAAUGGAAGCAUCAAUUCCCAUUGGAGGAAACACGGUGGCAACGGUGGAGGACGAGGAGAGAGGCCAUGGCUUCGGGACACCGAAUUUGUAUUAUUUUUUUACGAUUAGGACCUUAAGAAAUAUUUGUAUUAUUACUUUUGAUAUUCCUAUACAUAUUGUUAAAUUGAUAGAUAUUAUAAAUUUUUGUCAACUCUUUAGGUAAGGAAUGUUGUCGUAUUGGUAUUUUGAGAAUGUAAACAGUCUGAUAAAUUUAAGA
Molecule: long non-coding RNA, 475 nt
Organism: Morus notabilis
Lineage: Eukaryota; Viridiplantae; Streptophyta; Magnoliopsida; Rosales; Moraceae
Exons: 3
Source: RefSeq, a predicted model, not a curated record